UACAGAGGGUGCGAGCGUUAAUCGGAAUUACUGGGCGUAAAGCGCGCGUAGGCGGCUUUGCAAGUCGGGUGUGAAAUCCCCGGGCUCAACCCGGGAACUGCGUCCGAGACUGGCAGGCUCGAAUCCGGGAGAGGGAUGUGGAAUUCCAGGUGUAGCGGUGAAAUGCGUAGAUAUGUGGAGGAAUACCGAUGGCGAAGGCAGCCCCCUGGGAUAACACUGACGCUCAUGCACGAAAGCGUGGGGAGCAAACAGG
Molecule: ribosomal RNA, 253 nt
Filed under: uncultured bacterium
Lineage: Bacteria
Description: partial 16S ribosomal RNA
Rfam family: Bacterial small subunit ribosomal RNA
Source: RNAcentral